Molecule: long non-coding RNA, 584 nt
Organism: Pieris rapae (cabbage white)
Lineage: Eukaryota; Metazoa; Arthropoda; Insecta; Lepidoptera; Pieridae
Exons: 3
Source: RefSeq, a predicted model, not a curated record
UCGGAGAUGUGCAGUCGCGUCGUCUUCCGCGUAGUUUCCCCAAGUUUAUAGCGUGGAUUGUGUUCUGUGGUUUGUGUUAUGAAACAGGAUUUAGGCGCACUAUUGAUCAUCCGAGCUCCUACUAUGUUCAGGUUAAGCGGACAACUUGGAAGACAAUUAUAAAAAAGUACGAGUUCCUUGCACGAUACACAAAUACUCUUACACCGUCGAUGUUUACUUUGGGAGUCUUAUCAUUUGAUAAGUUAAAACACAAGCCAAUUGUAAACAAUCUUAUCAUGGUAACAUUCUUACUGAAGACGCGAAAUUAUCCAGAAUCUGAUACACGCCGACGAGACGCGCUCCGUACGUAAAUCGCCUUUGUAUAACGGUCGGAAUGGAAGUAGAAGUUUGUAUAAAUGGAUAAAUAGUGCACCAAAGAGAGAAGUGAUUUCUAGUCGGUAGUUGCUGAAGUGUAUCAAACUGGAGGACCUACAGACCUUGGACAGCGCUGAUGGCGUUGGUGAUAAUGUUAGUGAGGAAUGCCUUGAGAAGAAUUUCAAUCUCUCCCUGAACUUCUGUCCUGCCUACUUUGAUGGACUUCUGUG